This 1086-nucleotide ribosomal RNA is filed under the name Triticum aestivum (bread wheat). RNAcentral describes it as "partial small subunit ribosomal RNA". The record is from RNAcentral. Lineage: Eukaryota; Viridiplantae; Streptophyta; Magnoliopsida; Poales; Poaceae.
AUGGCUAGAGCUGCACUGCUUCCUGUCGCGCUGCUGCUGUGCCUUGCGCUGGCCGCCGGCGCCAAUGCCGAGCGGAAGCCGGUCGGUUUCUACGGGCUCAAGAACAAGAAGGGGGAUUUCUCCAUCAAGGUCACCAACUGGGGAGCCACCCUCGUCUCCGUCCUCGUCCCUGAUGGCCAAGGAAACUUGGCUGAUGUUGUCCUCGGGUACGACACCCUUCGUGGAUAUGUUAAUGGCACCGGCUCAUUCGGGGCCACGGUCGGGCGCGUGGUGAACAGAAUCGCCAAAUCCCGCUUCGUGCUCGACGGGAAAGCCUACCGUCUCUUCCGUAACGACGGCAAUAACUCCAUUCACGGCGGGCACAGGGGGUUCGGCAAGGUCAUAUGGACCGUCAAGGAGUACGUGCGCGGCGGUGACACCCCGUACAUCACCUUCUUCUACCACAGCUUCGACGGAGAGCAAGGAUUCCCGGGCGACCUGGACGUGUACGUGACGUACCAGCUCUCCGGCCCCUACGAGCUCAGCAUCCGCAUGAACGCCACGGCGGCGACCAAGGCGACGCCGGUGAACCUCGCGAACCACGCGUACUGGAACCUCGCCGGCCACGGCAGCGGCGACGUCCUGGAGCACGAGCUCCAGCUGCUCGCGUCGCGCUACACGCCGCUCGACGACACCAAGAUCCCGACGGGCCAGGUGGCGCCCGUGGCCGGCACCAUGUACGACUUCCGCGCGCCGACGCCCGUGGGCGCGCACAUGGAGGUCGUCGCCGGCGGCGGCGGCGGGUACGACAUAAACUUCGUCGUGGACGGGAAGCAGGACGCGAUGCGGAAGGUCGCGUUCGUCCGGGACCCGGAGUCGGGGCGGGCGCUGGAGCUGUGGGCGAACCAGCCCGGGGUGCAGCUCUACACCUCCAACUGGGUCAGCAACGAGAAGGGCAAGGCCGGGAAGGUGUACGAGCAGUACGGCGCGCUGUGCCUGGAGACGCAGGCGUACCCCGACGCCGUCAACCACCCGGAGUUCCCGUCGUCGAUCGUGAGGCCCGGCCAGGUGUACAAGCACGACGUGCUCUUCAAGUUCUCCAAUUAG